Long non-coding RNA from Mercenaria mercenaria, 3048 nucleotides. RefSeq lists it as uncharacterized. The transcript has 2 exons. Lineage: Eukaryota; Metazoa; Mollusca; Bivalvia; Venerida; Veneridae. The record is from RefSeq and is a predicted model, not a curated record.
UGAAGUUUCAUUAAAUUCUGUUAAGGGGAUAAGGAGAGAUGGUGCGCACAAGAUUGCGUCUACGGACAGACGGCCAGACGGACAGACAACCUGAAACCAGUAUACCCCCCCUUACAACUUUGUUGUCGGGGGGUACAAUAAUUUAAAUUAACAAGAGGGCCAAAAUGGCCCUAGGUCGCUCACCUGAGAAACACACCAUAACAGUGUAAACAUGUUUGACCUAGUGAUUUAAUGGAAAAAAAUAUUCUGACCAAUUAUCAUUAAAAUUGGAAAAAAGAGAGUAUAAACAAGUAUUGUGACCUAGUUUUUGACCCCAGAUGACCCAUAUUCAAAAUUGACCUUGAUUUCAUCACGGCUAUCAUUCUGACCAAAUUUCAUGAAGAUCAAUUGAAAAAUACAGCCUCUAUCGCAUACACAAGGUUUUUCUUUGAUUUGACCUAGUGACCUAGCUUUUGACCCCAGACAACCCAUAUUCGAACUUGACCUAGAUUUCAUCAAGGCAAAUAUUCUGACUAAAUUUUUAUGAAAAUCCAGUGUAAAAUGCAGCCCCUAUUGCAUACACAAGGUUUUUCUUUGAUUUGACCUAGUGACCUAGAUUUUGACCCCAGAUGACCAAUAUUCGAACUCGGCCUACACUUAUUAAUAUGAAAUAAGGCAAUGCCUCAAAGCGAGCUCAAAGAAAUCGGAUUUAGCUAAAAAUAUUAUGCAUCAUUUAUUUGUCACAAAGAAGCUAUUCCCUACUCACAAGAAUUCAGGAGAACCUAUUCACUUGAAAAAGUCUACAUUUAGUGUCACCAUACCUGUAACAGUGAAUAUCAUACGUUGCAAAAAUUAUGGGAAGCCGGUGUCACGGUGACGUCAUUACCGCGUUCCCGUUUCUUUCUGCUUAUUAAUGACAUUUUUUUCCAUUUUCUGGCCGAUGCUUCAUCUUUUAAAUGAAAAUAAAAAAUUUUUUCAAACAACUGGAAAGCAUUCUUUCAUUAUUGUUGAGUGAUGAAUAUUUUUUAGCAAUUGAAUCUGUAUUCACUCCGGAAAGAAGUACUUCCUGUGAGCACCUAUCCGUUAGGGUGCGCUUUUUAAGAACUUCCGACGAAACUUUUCAAAUCCAUCACCAAGUGUGGAAGUAUACUUGCGUUACCGUAAAGCUCGAUUCUCGAGCAGGCCCUUUGGGCCUGCUCUUCGAGCUCGCUAUCAAGGCAAUCAUUCUGAUCAAACUGUAAUUACUAUGAAGAUCAACUAAAAAAUACAGCCUCUAUUGCAUACACAAGCUAAAUGUUGACAGACGAGAGACAAACAGACAGACGACAGACAGACGAUGGAAGCCGGACAUCCAGCGAUCACAAAAACUCACCUGAGCAUAUUAUGUCAAAAUUAAAUGCAAAAUGGUCAUUAUCGCAACCCAAUAUUUUAAACCUGUAUAAGAUGAAAGACAAUAAAUACACAAAACCAACAUCUUUGCUGUCAUAUUUUGAAUAAAAUUCUAGUUUUUUAAUGAAUUUCCAGUUAAACAAAGAAGGAAAUCAAGCUCUGUAUAUUCUGCGAUAAACAACAGUUGGUGCAUGGACCGGUAAGACAGCAUUAUGACGUCAAACUGCCACAUGACGUUUGAUACAUUACUCCUUGGUUAUCAUGGCUCAACAAAUGUUAGAGGCAGCUGACAGACCUUUAUGGCCGGAACAAGGGAUGGAAUGCCCUGUACCCCACUGCUCAGCAGGGAAAUUUUUCAGUCGUUAUGACAGAUUCAGUGAACAUUGGCAAGGGUACAUCUGCCAGUAGUAAACAUUUUCAAAUGUAUGAAAUGUUCCACUGUAGUCUUCAGGGGUAAUGAGGCUCGGCAGCACAGUAAACGCAACGGGUCACAACACUUGUGCGAGGCGUCUAGGAUUGCAAAUCCGAAAUAUAUUAGCCCGGCAGGAGUCAGUAAGCCACGCUUCCCCUCACAUCAAGAAAGGAGGGAUAUGGAGGAAGAAAGGCAGGUCAAAAAUGAGAGAGAAAAACAACACAGGAAGGAGGAAGAUAGGGAGGCUAGGAGAAAUGUUCAACGCGUAGAACUGUAUGGCCUAAAUGCAAUGUCACCUACUGAAUUAGAUUAUUAUGACGAAAUUAGCCACUGGUAGUGUCAAGUGUUAUUAUUUUUCAUUUACUUAUAGUGCUACAGUUAAAUGUUUUUUUGGAACACACUAUUUUGUCAAUUAUUUUUGGAUUUAUUUCCAUAUUGAAAUUUCUAUCUUUUUAUUAUAGAACUAUAAAUAAAUUGUUACUUAAAGAAUCUAUAGUUAUUACUUACUACUUUAUAAUUUAAGAGUUAAAUGUUAUGUCAGUAGGUUUUAAAGUACUUUAUAAUUUAAUUUUAGCAUUAUUUGUUCUUUGCAUUUUUGGUUUUGAUUAUGAUUAAGUAACUCUUUUAACUUAAGUCAAGACUUAAGUCAUCAUUAAAUAUAUAUCUACUUUCAUUCCUUAUUCACAUAGAUUUUUCAUUACAUAUUAAAAUAUUUUGCAAUAUUUUAAUUUAUUUAAGGAGAAAGGAAUGUAACAGGUCAGAUUUACGCUUAAAAUAUUUUCUUUAACUAUUCUUGUUUCAUUUGUUGUUGUCAUUCAUGGGCGCCGCCAUAUUGUCUUCUUCGCCGAAUGUGUUUUACUACGGAUCAAUUCAUUGGUUAAUAAUAAUGUUUAAAGUAUUUUCAUUGGUUUAUGUUAGAUCCAAUUAUUAAUUGUUUAUACCUGUCAUGUGACUAUGCGCGGGAAAUUUCAUUUAUAUACCCGUGCAUAGUAUUUUGUUAGUUAGAUAGGCUGUACCGGGCAACCGGUACGUCACCGAAGCCUAAGAGCUUCAUUUGUUUAAUUGAGAUCAUUCUCACAUAAUACUUGCUUAUAGCAAAACUCUAAAACUGAAACAUCAGAUUAAUUUCCCUUCUCUUCUUUAGAUUAAUAAUUAAAAUUCUACUUUUAUUCUUUAAGUUUCUUUGUUUAUUUAAAUUUAAAUAAAUUCUGAAUAAAUAUAGAUUUAUAUAGCCUAGAUUAAUUCUAUAAAUAAAAGUGUAGCACUAA